This is a small nucleolar RNA of Prionailurus viverrinus (fishing cat), 72 nucleotides long. Lineage: Eukaryota; Metazoa; Chordata; Mammalia; Carnivora; Felidae. The record is from RefSeq and is a predicted model, not a curated record.
UGGCAGUGAUGUAUGAAUUUCACCUGGAAACACCGUGGAGAGCAGAAUCCGAGCUUUUUAACCCUGAGCCAC